This 417-nucleotide ribosomal RNA is filed under the name Aegomorphus morrisi (tupelo borer). RNAcentral describes it as "partial 16S ribosomal RNA". The stretch from base 1 to 162 matches the Rfam family "Archaeal large subunit ribosomal RNA", at positions 1891 to 2096 of the family's 2987-position model. Lineage: Eukaryota; Metazoa; Arthropoda; Insecta; Coleoptera; Cerambycidae. The record is from RNAcentral.
CCUGGUUAUCAAAAACAUCGCUUUUUGUAAAUUAAUUUAAAGUUAGACCUGCCCCCUGAAUAUAUUUUAAAGGGCCGCGGUAUUUUGACCGUGCUAAGGUAGCAUAAUAAUUAGUUUCUUAAUUAGAAGCUGGAAUGAAUGGUUUAAUGAAAAAAUUACUGUUUCAAUUUAAAUUUAAUUGAAUUUUAUAUUUAAGUUAAAAAGCUUAAAUUUUUUUAAAAGACGAGAAGACCCUAUAGAGUUUAAUAAAAAUUUUAAUUUUUGAUUUUAGGAUUAUUAAAAGAUAUUUAAAUUUUUAUUUAAUUGGGGUGAUUAUAAAAUUUAGAUAACUUUUAUUUUUAUUAUACAUAAAUUUAUGAAUAUUUGAUCCAUUUAUAAUGAUUAUAAGAUUAAAUUACCUUAGGGAUAACAGCGUAA